CACAUGCUGUGAGCUCGAUGAGUAGGGCGGGACACGUGGUAUCCUGUCUGAAUAUGGGGGGACCAUCCUCCAAGGCUAAAUACUCCUGACUGACCGAUAGUGAACCAGUACCGUGAGGGAAAGGCGAAAAGAACCCCGGCGAGGGGAGUGAAAAAGAACCUGAAACCGUGUACGUACAAGCAGUGGGAGCACGCUUAGGCGUGUGACUGCGUACCUUUUGUAUAAUGGGUCAGCGACUUAUAUUCUGUAGCAAGGUUAACCGAAUAGGGGAGCCCAAGGGAAACCGAGUCUUAACUGGGCGUUAAGUUGCAGGGUAUAGACCCGAAACCCGGUGAUCUAGCCAUGGGCAGGUUGAAGGUUGGGUAACACUAACUGGAGGACCGAACCGACUAAUGUUGAAAAAUUAGCGGAUGACUUGUGGCUGGGGGUGAAAGGCCAAUCAAACCGGGAGAUAGCUGGUUCUCCCCGAAAGCUAUUUAGGUAGCGCCUCGUGAAUUCAUCUCCGGGGGUAGAGCACUGUUUCGGCAAGGGGGUCAUCCCGACUUACCAACCCGAUGCAAACUGCGAAUACCGGAGAAUGUUAUCACGGGAGACACACGGCGGGUGCUAACGUCCGUCGUGAAGAGGGAAACAACCCAGACCGCCAGCUAAGGUCCCAAAGUCAUGGUUAAGUGGGAAACGAUGUGGGAAGGCCCAGACAGCCAGGAUGUUGGCUUAGAAGCAGCCAUCAUUUAAAGAAAGCGUAAUAGCUCACUGGUCGAGUCGGCCUGCGCGGAAGAUGUAACGGGGCUAAACCAUGCACCGAAGCUGCGGCAGCGACACUAUGUGUUGUUGGGUAGGGGAGCGUUCUGUAAGCCUGUGAAGGUGUACUGUGAGGUAUGCUGGAGGUAUCAGAAGUGCGAAUGCUGACAUAAGUAACGAUAAAGCGGGUGAAAAGCCCGCUCGCCGGAAGACCAAGGGUUCCUGUCCAACGUUAAUCGGGGCAGGGUGAGUCGACCCCUAAGGCGAGGCCGAAAGGCGUAGUCGAUGGGAAACAGGUUAAUAUUCCUGUACUUGGUGUUACUGCGAAGGGGGGACGGAGAAGGCUAUGUUGGCCGGGCGACGGUUGUCCCGGUUUAAGCGUGUAGGCUGGUUUUCCAGGCAAAUCCGGAAAAUCAAGGCUGAGGCGUGAUGACGAGGCACUACGGUGCUGAAGCAACAAAUGCCCUGCUUCCAGGAAAAGCCUCUAAGCAUCAGGUAACAUCAAAUCGUACCCCAAACCGACACAGGUGGUCAGGUAGAGAAUACCAAGGCGCUUGAGAGAACUCGGGUGAAGGAACUAGGCAAAAUGGUGCCGUAACUUCGGGAGAAGGCACGCUGAUAUGUAGGUGAAGCGACUUGCUCGUGGAGCUGAAAUCAGUCGAAGAUACCAGCUGGCUGCAACUGUUUAUUAAAAACACAGCACUGUGCAAACACGAAAGUGGACGUAUACGGUGUGACGCCUGCCCGGUGCCGGAAGGUUAAUUGAUGGGGUUAGCGGUAACGCGAAGCUCUUGAUCGAAGCCCCGGUAAACGGCGGCCGUAACUAUAACGGUCCUAAGGUAGCGAAAUUCCUUGUCGGGUAAGUUCCGACCUGCACGAAUGGCGUAAUGAUGGCCAGGCUGUCUCCACCCGAGACUCAGUGAAAUUGAACUCGCUGUGAAGAUGCAGUGUACCCGCGGCAAGACGGAAAGACCCCGUGAACCUUUACUAUAGCUUGACACUGAACAUUGAGCCUUGAUGUGUAGGAUAGGUGGGAGGCUUUGAAGUGUGGACGCCAGUCUGCAUGGAGCCGACCUUGAAAUACCACCCUUUAAUGUUUGAUGUUCUAACGUUGACCCCUAAUCGGGGUUGCGGACAGUGUCUGGUGGGUAGUUUGACUGGGGCGGUCUCCUCCUAAAGAGUAACGGAGGAGCACGAAGGUUGGCUAAUCCUGGUCGGACAUCAGGAGGUUAGUGCAAUGGCAUAAGCCAGCUUGACUGCGAGCGUGACGGCGCGAGCAGGUGCGAAAGCAGGUCAUAGUGAUCCGGUGGUUCUGAAUGGAAGGGCCAUCGCUCAACGGAUAAAAGGUACUCCGGGGAUAACAGGCUGAUACCGCCCAAGAGUUCAUAUCGACGGCGGUGUUUGGCACCUCGAUGUCGGCUCAUCACAUCCUGGGGCUGAAGUAGGUCCCAAGGGUAUGGCUGUUCGCCAUUUAAAGUGGUACGCGAGCUGGGUUUAGAACGUCGUGAGACAGUUCGGUCCCUAUCUGCCGUGGGCGCUGGAGAACUGAGGGGGGCUGCUCCUAGUACGAGAGGACCGGAGUGGACGCAUCACUGGUGUUCGGGUUGUCAUGCCAAUGGCACUGCCCGGUAGCUAAAUGCGGAAGAGAUAAGUGCUGAAAGCAUCUAAGCACGAAACUUGCCCCGAGAUGAGUUCUCCCUGACCCUUUAAGGGUCCUGAAGGAACGUUGAAGACGACGACGUUGAUAGGCCGGGUGUGUAAGCGCAGCGAUGCGUUGAGCUAACCGGUACUAAUGAACCGUGAGGCUUAACCUU
RNAcentral lists this ribosomal RNA (2555 nucleotides) under Escherichia coli HVH 221 (4-3136817). RNAcentral's name for it is "bacterial LSU rRNA". It matches the Rfam family "Bacterial large subunit ribosomal RNA", at positions 391 to 2925 of the family's 2925-position model. The record is from RNAcentral. Lineage: Bacteria; Pseudomonadati; Pseudomonadota; Gammaproteobacteria; Enterobacterales; Enterobacteriaceae.